Molecule: transfer RNA, 73 nt
Filed under: Hepatozoon canis
Lineage: Eukaryota; Apicomplexa; Hepatozoidae
Description: tRNA-Glu
Rfam family: tRNA
About the family: Transfer RNA (tRNA) molecules are approximately 80 nucleotides in length. Their secondary structure includes four short double-helical elements and three loops (D, anti-codon, and T loops).
Source: RNAcentral
ACUUUUAUCGUUUAACUGGAUAGGACCUCUUCUUUUCAAGAAGAAAAUAGGAAUUCAAUUUUCCUUAAAAGUA